RNAcentral lists this ribosomal RNA (225 nucleotides) under uncultured Desulfosporosinus sp. RNAcentral's name for it is "partial 16S ribosomal RNA". It matches the Rfam family "Bacterial small subunit ribosomal RNA", at positions 568 to 792 of the family's 1533-position model. Lineage: Bacteria; Bacillati; Bacillota; Clostridia; Eubacteriales; Desulfitobacteriaceae. The record is from RNAcentral.
UCCGUAGGCGGAUGGUUAAGUCCGGUGUGAAAGAUCAGGGCUCAACCCUGAGAGUGCAUCGGAAACUGGGCAUCUUGAGGACAGGAGAGGAAAGUGGAAUUCCUAGUGUAGCGGUGAAAUGCGUAGAUAUUAGGAGGAACACCAGUGGCGAAGGCGACUUUCUGGACUGUAACUGACGCUCAUGCACGAAAGCGUGGGGAGCAAACAGGAUUAGAUACCCGGGUA